Ficedula albicollis (Collared flycatcher) is the source of this 281-nucleotide long non-coding RNA. RefSeq lists it as uncharacterized. Lineage: Eukaryota; Metazoa; Chordata; Aves; Passeriformes; Muscicapidae. The transcript has 3 exons. The record is from RefSeq and is a predicted model, not a curated record.
AUCCUGCUACAGAUCAGGGUACCUCUCCCGAGGUGGCGGCAGCGGCUUCAGCAAGCCCCUGCAGAGACGGAGAGGAAAUUAGAAAUCCGGCCCGGAGGACGAGCAGGAGGGAUGAGCACUUGCUGUGCAUGACGCGAUGAGAACGCUCGGGAAAGACCUCAAGUGGAGCAGAACGCAAAGCCCACAGAGACCGGCUAAGGAACAUGUACUACUGGUGACAAAUGGACUUAGAAUAUUUUCACUCCCAGGCAACUAUUUGGAAAGAGAAGCUCACAGUUAAA